UGGCGACGAUGCGUAGGGGUUCUGAGAGGAAGGUCCCCCACACUGGUACUGAGACACGGACCAGACUCCUACGGGAGGCAGCAGUGAGGAAUAUUGGUCAAUGGGAGAGAUCCUGAACCAGCCAAGCCGCGUGAGGGAAGACGGCCCUAUGGGUUGUAAACCUCUUUUGUCGGAGAACAAAACCCGGGACGUGUCCCGGACUGCGUGUAUCCGAAGAAAAAGCAUCGGCUAACUCCGUGCCAGCAGCCGCGGUAAUACGGAGGAUGCGAGCGUUAUCCGGAUUUAUUGGGUUUAAAGGGUGCGUAGGCGGUCCGUUAAGUCAGCGGUAAAAUUGCGGGGCUCAACCCCGUCGAGCCGUUGAAACUGGCAGACUUGAGUUGGCGAGAAGUACGCGGAAUGCGCGGUGUAGCGGUGAAAUGCAUAGAUAUCGCGCAGAACUCCGAUUGCGAAGGCAGCGUACCGGCGCCAGACUGACGCUGAGGCACGAAAGCGUGGGGAUCGAACAGGAUUAGAUACCCUGGUAGUCCACGCAGUAAACGAUGAAUGCUGGUUGUCCGGGUCGAAUGAGAUCUGGGCGGC
RNAcentral lists this ribosomal RNA (579 nucleotides) under uncultured bacterium. RNAcentral describes it as "bacterial SSU rRNA". It matches the Rfam family "Bacterial small subunit ribosomal RNA", at positions 271 to 847 of the family's 1533-position model. The record is from RNAcentral.